This 449-nucleotide ribosomal RNA is filed under the name uncultured bacterium. Its description in RNAcentral is "partial 16S ribosomal RNA". It matches the Rfam family "Bacterial small subunit ribosomal RNA", at positions 29 to 523 of the family's 1533-position model. The record is from RNAcentral.
AGCGAACGCUGGCGGCAGGCUUAACACAUGCAAGUCGAACGGGCACUUCGGUGUCAGUGGCAGACGGGUGAGUAACACGUGGGAACGUACCUUUUGGUUCGGAACAACACAGGGAAACUUGUGCUAAUACCGGAUAAGCCCUUACGGGGAAAGAUUUAUCGCCGGAAGAUCGGCCCGCGUCUGAUUAGCUAGUUGGUGAGGUAAUGGCUAACCAAGGCGACGAUCAGUAGCUGGACUGAGAGGAUGAUCAGCCACAUUGGGACUGAGACACGGCCCAAACUCCUACGGGGGGCAGCAGUGGGGAAUAUUAGACAAUGGGCGCAAGCCUGAGCCAGCCAUGCCGCGUGAGUGAUGAAGGCCCUAGGGUUGUAAAGCUCUUUUGUGCGGGAAGAUAAUGACGGUACCGCAAGAAUAAGCCCCGGCUAACUUCGUGCCAGCCGCCGCCGUAA